UUGUGUAGUUUUGUGGCCUUUGUGCAAGAUUCAGACAAGGAGUGCAGCGGAAGCUUACACCUGCACGUGGUGGGACAGAGGGAAGUAGGGCUGGUCUGAGGCUGCUGCUGAGAGAACGAAGCUGGAUUAGGAGUGGCUUGAGGGCCCGGCGUCGUCAGUGGUGACCUCUGACCUGAGGCAACUAUAAUGAAUGGAAAGGAAACCGGAUUGUACUUUAAAUCCAAGAACAUUCUCUACUCUCCGGAACAAGUCAUCUGCAGGCGCAGGCAAUGGAGUCCAUGAGGCCAGCUGUACGGCGGCCCGCUCCGGACCCAGGCUUGGCUCCUCACUUUCCGCUGUUUUUAGUGCGGUCCUACAAGUGCCCUGGUGCAGCCUGAGAUGAGUAAUAAAUGCAGCUGAAAUA
This 403-nucleotide non-coding RNA is filed under the name Pongo abelii (Sumatran orangutan). Lineage: Eukaryota; Metazoa; Chordata; Mammalia; Primates; Hominidae. The record is from RNAcentral.